RNAcentral lists this transfer RNA (108 nucleotides) under Pseudozyma hubeiensis SY62. It matches the Rfam family "tRNA". From Rfam's summary of the family: Transfer RNA (tRNA) molecules are approximately 80 nucleotides in length. Their secondary structure includes four short double-helical elements and three loops (D, anti-codon, and T loops). Lineage: Eukaryota; Fungi; Basidiomycota; Ustilaginomycetes; Ustilaginales; Ustilaginaceae. The record is from Rfam by way of RNAcentral.
UCCCGGCUAGCUCAGUCGGUAGAGCGUCAGACUCUUAUGCAAACAAGGGUUUCCGAGGUUAUCUCGGAGUUUAUCUGAAUGUCGUGGGUUCGAGCCCCACGUUGGGAG